AGGAUGAACGCUGGCGGCGUGCCUAAUACAUGCAAGUCGAGCGGUAAGGCCCCUUCGGGGGUACACGAGCGGCGGACGGCUGAGUAACACGUAGGAACGUACCCCAAACUGAGGGAUAAGCACCAGAAAUGGUGUCUAAUACCGCAUGUGGUCUUCGGAUUAAAGCUUCGGCGGUUUGGGAACGGCCUGCGCAUGAUUAGCCUGUUGGUGAGGUAAAAGCUUACCAAGGCGACGAUCAUUAGCUGGUCUGAGAGGAUGAUCAGCCAGACUGGGACUGAGAACGGCCCAGACUCCUACGGGAGGCAGCAGUAGGGAAUUUUCCACAAUGGGCGAAAAGCCUGAUGGAGCAACGCCGCGUGCAGGACGAAGGCCUUCGGGUUGUAAACUGCUUUUAUAUGUGAAGAUUAUGACGGUAGCAUAUGAAUAAGGAUCGGCUAACUCCGUGCCAGCAGCCGC
Molecule: ribosomal RNA, 456 nt
Filed under: uncultured bacterium
Lineage: Bacteria
Description: SSU rRNA
Rfam family: Bacterial small subunit ribosomal RNA
Source: RNAcentral